RNAcentral lists this non-coding RNA (32 nucleotides) under Mus musculus (house mouse). Lineage: Eukaryota; Metazoa; Chordata; Mammalia; Rodentia; Muridae. The record is from RNAcentral.
UGCUUUCUUAAAAGAAACCAAGACCACCAGCC